GGUCCAAAUUUGAAGUAGAGUAGAUUAGUACGAUCAGUUGACCCUACUGAACUACUUUUCUUCAAAUUAGUGCCC
Non-coding RNA from Haemonchus contortus (barber pole worm), 75 nucleotides. Lineage: Eukaryota; Metazoa; Nematoda; Chromadorea; Rhabditida; Trichostrongylidae. The record is from Rfam.